UACGUAGGUCCCGAGCGUUGUCCGGAUUUAUUGGGCGUAAAGCGGGCGCAGGUGGUUUAUUAAGUCUGGUGUAAAAGGCAGUGGCUCAACCAUUGUAUGCAUUGGAAGCUGGUAGACUUGAGUGCAGGAGAGGAGAGUGGAAUUCCAUGUGUAGCGGUGAAAUGCGUAGAUAUAUGGAGGAACACCGGUGGCGAAAGCGGCUCUCUGGCCUGUAACUGACACUGAGGCUCGAAAGCGUGGGGAGCAAACAGG
Molecule: ribosomal RNA, 252 nt
Filed under: uncultured bacterium
Lineage: Bacteria
Description: partial 16S ribosomal RNA
Rfam family: Bacterial small subunit ribosomal RNA
Source: RNAcentral